UGGGGAAUAUUGGACAAUGGGCGAAAGCCUGAUCCAGCCAUGCCGCGUGUGUGAAGAAGGUCUUCGGAUUGUAAAGCACUUUAAGUUGGGAGGAAGGGCAGUAAGUUAAUACCUUGCUGUUUUGACGUUACCGACAGAAUAAGCACCGGCUAACUCUGUGCCAGCAGCCGCGGUAAUACAGAGGGUGCAAGCGUUAAUCGGAAUUACUGGGCGUAAAGCGCGCGUAGGUGGUUUGUUAAGUUGGAUGUGAAAGCCCCGGGCUCAACCUGGGAACUGCAUCCAAAACUGGCAGGCUAGAGUACGGUAGAGGGUGGUGGAAUUUCCUGUGUAGCGGUGAAAUGCGUAGAUAUAGGAAGGAACACCAGUGGCGAAGGCGACCACCUGGACUAAUACUGACACUGAGGUGCGAAAGCGUGGGGAGCAAACA
Molecule: ribosomal RNA, 427 nt
Filed under: uncultured bacterium
Lineage: Bacteria
Description: partial 16S ribosomal RNA
Rfam family: Bacterial small subunit ribosomal RNA
Source: RNAcentral